UAGAGUUUGAUCCUGGCUCAGGAUGAACGCUAGCUACAGGCUUAACACAUGCAAGUCGAGGGGCAGCAUGGGAGUUUGCUUGCAAACUUCCGAUGGCGACCGGCGCACGGGUGAGUAACACGUAUCCAACCUGCCGAUAACUCGGGGAUAGCCUUUCGAAAGAAAGAUUAAUAUCCGAUAGCAUAUCAAGGUCGCAUGAUCUUGAUAUUAAAGAAUUUCGGUUAUCGAUGGGGAUGCGUUCCAUUAGUUAGUUGGCGGGGUAACGGCCCACCAAGACGACGAUGGAUAGGGGUUCUGAGAGGAAGGUCCCCCACAUUGGAACUGAGACACGGUCCAAACUCCUACGGGAGGCAGCAGUGAGGAAUAUUGGUCAAUGGGCGGGAGCCUGAACCAGCCAAGUCGCGUGAGGGAUGACGGCCCUAUGGGUUGUAAACCUCUUUUGCCGGGGAGCAAAGUGCCGCACGUGUGCGGUUUGGAGAGUACCCGGAGAAAAAGCAUCGGCUAACUCCGUGCCAGCAGCCGCGGUAAUACGGAGGAUGCGAGCGUUAUCCGGAUUUAUUGGGUUUAAAGGGUGCGUAGGCGGACGCUUAAGUCAGCGGUAAAAUUGCGGGGCUCAACCUCGUCGAGCCGUUGAAACUGGGUGCCUUGAGUGGGCGAGAAGUACGCGGAAUGCGUGGUGUAGCGGUGAAAUGCAUAGAUAUCACGCAGAACUCCGAUUGCGAAGGCAGCGUACCGGCGCCCAACUGACGCUGAAGCACGAAGGCGUGGGUAUCGAACAGGAUUAGAUACCCUGGUAGUCCACGCAGUAAACGAUGAAUGCUAGUUGUCCGGGGCGAUUGAGUUCUGGGUGACACAGCGAAAGCGUUAAGCAUUCCACCUGGGGAGUACGCCGGCAACGGUGAAACUCAAAGGAAUUGACGGGGGCCCGCACAAGCGGAGGAACAUGUGGUUUAAUUCGAUGAUACGCGAGGAACCUUACCCGGGCUCAAACGCAGGAGGGAUGUUUUUGAAAGGAGGCAGCCAGCAAUGGUCUCCUGCGAGGUGCUGCAUGGUUGUCGUCAGCUCGUGCCGUGAGGUGUCGGCUUAAGUGCCAUAACGAGCGCAACCCCUACCUACAGUUGCCAUCGCGUGAUGGCGGGCACUCUGUGGGGACUGCCUGCGCAAGCAGUGAGGAAGGCGGGGAUGACGUCAAAUCAGCACGGCCCUUACGUCCGGGGCGACACACGUGUUACAAUGGCAGGUACAGCGGGAAGCCACCCGGCGACGGGGCGCGGAACCCGAAAACCUGUCUCAGUUCGGAUUGGAGUCUGCAACCCGACUCCAUGAAGCUGGAUUCGCUAGUAAUCGCGCAUCAGCCACGGCGCGGUGAAUACGUUCCCGGGCCUUGCACUCACCGCCCGUCAAG
Molecule: ribosomal RNA, 1405 nt
Filed under: uncultured bacterium
Lineage: Bacteria
Description: bacterial SSU rRNA
Rfam family: Bacterial small subunit ribosomal RNA
Source: RNAcentral